Long non-coding RNA from Stomoxys calcitrans (stable fly), 423 nucleotides. RefSeq lists it as uncharacterized. The transcript is spliced from 3 exons. NCBI's taxonomy places the organism in Eukaryota, Metazoa, Arthropoda, Insecta, Diptera, Muscidae. The record is from RefSeq and is a predicted model, not a curated record.
CAUUUUUGAAGGAGACAAACAUUUUUUUCUGUUAUGCAAUCCAUUAGAACAAAUUUCGGGGUUUGCGUUGGAUUUAAUUAAAUUUUAAUGGCGGCUCAACAACUCAAUGGCCCAUCGAUAACUGAAAAGAUCAUAAAUCUCUUGGUCAGCCUGAAUUAUUUCUAGCCACAUAUGGAGUUUGACUACCUUAUUGGCAAAUGGUCAGACAUUUAUUAUGGAAUUGUUUGUCAAUAACCUUUAAUCCCUUUGUUUGUGGCAAUUACACUCUGUGACGUGAUUUUGUUUGACAUCUAAACCAGAAAGGGAGGAUACAACGAUGGAAAAAAAAGGAAAUUUUAUUAACUGUCUUUUCAACUAAAACCACAAUCAUUUGAUGUCAUGGCAUUUAAAAACUAAAGAGAAAAAAAUGUUAAAAUGAAAUGG